GUGUUGAUGAUGUCGGUGAUCCACCCGUUCCCAUUCCGAACACGGAAGUUAAGGCCGAUGAUGCUGAAAAUACUUGGUUGGUGACGACCCGGGAAAAUAAGGAGACGCCA
RNAcentral lists this ribosomal RNA (110 nucleotides) under Candidatus Improbicoccus devescovinae. The record is from RNAcentral. Lineage: Bacteria; Bacillati; Bacillota; Clostridia.